UACGGAGGGUGCAAGCGUUAGUCGGAAUUACUGGGCGUAAAGGGUGUGUAGGCGGGAAUAUAAGUCAAACGUGAAAUUCCGGAGCUCAACUUCGGAGCUGCAUUUGAGACUGUAUUUCUUGAGGGAUGGCGGAGAAAGUAGAAUUCCACGUGUAGCGGUGAAAUGCGUAGAUAUGUGGAAGAAUACCUGUGGCGAAAGCGACUUUCUAGCCUAAACCUGACGCUGAGGCACGAAAGCAAGGGGAUCAAACAGG
Molecule: ribosomal RNA, 253 nt
Filed under: uncultured bacterium
Lineage: Bacteria
Description: partial 16S ribosomal RNA
Rfam family: Bacterial small subunit ribosomal RNA
Source: RNAcentral